GAGAUCGGUUGGACGGUCGCGCAUUAGUAUCCUCGCGAUACUAAUUCGAGGAAAGUCCGGGCUCCGUGGGUAGGGCUGCCAGGUAAUGCCUGGGCAUGGCGGGAAACUGCUGUGACGGAAAGUGCCACAGAAAACAAACCGCCUCUCCGGAGGUAAGGGUGAAAAGGUGGGGUAAGAGCCCACCGCGUCCAUGGCAACAUGGACGGCACGGUAAACCCCGGCUGGAGCAAGGCCAAGUAAGCGGCGAGAGUGCCCACCUCGAUAAAGACGCCGCGGGUAGGCUGCUAGAGAGCACGAGCGAUCGUGCUCCGAGAGAAAUGAUCGUCACGGUGGCUAGACCAUCGAACAGAACCCGGCUUAUAGACCGAUCGCUUGA
RNAcentral lists this RNase P RNA (376 nucleotides) under Gemmatimonadaceae bacterium. RNAcentral describes it as "RNase P RNA component class A". It matches the Rfam family "Bacterial RNase P class A". Rfam says of the family: Ribonuclease P (RNase P) is a ubiquitous endoribonuclease, found in archaea, bacteria and eukarya as well as chloroplasts and mitochondria. Its best characterised activity is the generation of mature 5'-ends of tRNAs by cleaving the 5'-leader elements of precursor-tRNAs. The record is from RNAcentral. Lineage: Bacteria; Pseudomonadati; Gemmatimonadota; Gemmatimonadia; Gemmatimonadales; Gemmatimonadaceae.